GUAGUGCAGUGGUUAGCACUCUAAACUUUCAAUCCAGCGCCUCGGGUUCGAAUCCCGAUCG
This 61-nucleotide transfer RNA is filed under the name Perkinsus olseni. RNAcentral describes it as "tRNA-Glu". It matches the Rfam family "tRNA", at positions 8 to 63 of the family's 71-position model. Rfam says of the family: Transfer RNA (tRNA) molecules are approximately 80 nucleotides in length. Lineage: Eukaryota; Perkinsozoa; Perkinsida; Perkinsidae. The record is from RNAcentral.